GGUUAAGCGACUAAGCGUACACGGUGGAUGCCCUGGCAGUCAGAGGCGAUGAAGGACGUGCUAAUCUGCGAUAAGCGUCGGUGAGGUGAUAUGAACCGUUAUAACCGGCGAUUUCCGAAUGGGGAAACCCAGUGUGAUUCGUCACACUAUCAUUAACUGAAUC
Molecule: ribosomal RNA, 163 nt
Filed under: Escherichia coli
Lineage: Bacteria; Pseudomonadati; Pseudomonadota; Gammaproteobacteria; Enterobacterales; Enterobacteriaceae
Description: partial 23S ribosomal RNA
Rfam family: Bacterial large subunit ribosomal RNA
Source: RNAcentral